CCUACGGGGGGCAGCAGUGGGGAAUAUUGCACAAUGGGCGAAACCCUGAUGCAGCAACGCCGCGUGAGUGAAGAAGUAUUUCGGUAUGUAAAGCUCUAUCAGCAGGGAAGAAAAAAGACGGUACCUGACCAAGCAGCCCCGGCUAACUACGUGCCAGCAGCCGCGGUAAUACGUAGGGGGCAAGCGGUAUCCGGAUUUACUGGGUGUAAAGGGAGGGGAGACGGUUGUGCAAGUCUGAGGUGAAAGCCCGUGGCUCAACCGCGGAACUGCUUUUGAAACUGUAUAGCUUGAGUACUGGAGAGGCAGGCGGAAUGCGCAGUGUAGCGGUGAAAUGCGUAGAUAUUGGGAGGAACACCAGUGGCGAAGGCGGCCUGCUGGACAGAAACUGACGUUGAGGCACGAAAGCGUGGGGAGCAAACAGGAUUAGAUACCCGGGUAGUC
Molecule: ribosomal RNA, 441 nt
Filed under: uncultured bacterium
Lineage: Bacteria
Description: partial 16S ribosomal RNA
Rfam family: Bacterial small subunit ribosomal RNA
Source: RNAcentral